UACGUAGGGGGCAAGCGUUGUCCGGAAUCAUUGGGCGUAAAGCGCACGUAGGUGGCCUGUUAAGUCGGGUGUGAAAUCCCUGGGCUCAACCCAGGAAGUGCACUCGAAACUGGCGGGCUUGAGUACUGAAGAGGGUCGCGGAAUUCCCGGUGUAGAGGUGAAAUUCGUAGAUAUCGGGAGGAACACCAGUGGCGAAGGCGGCGACCUGGGCAGAUACUGACACUGAGGUGCGAAAGCGUGGGGAGCAAACAGG
RNAcentral lists this ribosomal RNA (253 nucleotides) under uncultured bacterium. RNAcentral's name for it is "partial 16S ribosomal RNA". It matches the Rfam family "Bacterial small subunit ribosomal RNA", at positions 524 to 776 of the family's 1533-position model. The record is from RNAcentral.